CCCUUAGAUGUUCUGGGCCGCACGCGCGCUACACUGACGGAGGCAGCGAGCGUGUCCUUCGCCGGCAGGUGCGGGCAAUCUUGCGAGUCUCCGUCGUGCUGGGGAUAGAUGGUUGCAAUUGUCGAUCUUGAACGAGGAAUUCCUAGUAAGCGCGAGUCAUCAGCUCGCGCUGAUUACGUCCCUGCCCUUUGUACACACCGCCCGUCGCUACUACAGAGUGCCCGUGUCCAAGAAACGGUCGGACCUGUGCGGCCUCUACGGGCGACCGGAGGGCCGUUACGGGGAAGACCCUUUAUUUGACGCGGGUCGAUGAAGUAAAAGUCGUAACA
Molecule: ribosomal RNA, 329 nt
Filed under: uncultured eukaryote
Lineage: Eukaryota
Description: partial 18S ribosomal RNA
Rfam family: Eukaryotic small subunit ribosomal RNA
Source: RNAcentral